AAUCUGUAGAUGUAUCACAUUACAAUUAUCCUUCUUUGAAAUCUCAAUGUGAACUGUGAAGUAAUGUUGUUUGAUAUCUAUCUGCAAUUAGCAUCUGAGAUUAAUACUCAUGUAGUGAAUCUGUAGGUGUAUCACAUUAGAAUUAUCCUUCUUUGAGAUCUCAAUGUGAACUGUGAAGUAAUGCUGUUUGAUAUCUAUCUGCAAUUAGCAUCUGAGAUUAAUACUCAUGUAGUGAAUCUGUAGAUGUAUCAGAUUAGAAUUAUCCUUCUUUGAAAUCUCAAUGUGAACUGUGAAGCAAUGUUGUUUGAUAUCUAUCUGCAAUUAGCAUCUAAGAUUAAUACUCAUGCGAUGAUGAGAGUACUAGCCGACGACUACAUGGAGAACACGCUAUUGCUACCAGGUGGAAAUGGCAUUGACAUUUACCUG
This 426-nucleotide long non-coding RNA is filed under the name Musa acuminata (dwarf banana). RNAcentral describes it as "long non-coding RNA (MACU_LNC003808)". The record is from RNAcentral. Lineage: Eukaryota; Viridiplantae; Streptophyta; Magnoliopsida; Zingiberales; Musaceae.